UAUUGAUCUUUUGCAUGGUAGCUAAUAAGCCUACCAGACCGAUUAAGUCCGGUUUUAUGCAAAUGAACUUGUGUGACAAUGUUCACAUGUUCAAUGCAAAGAUUCGACGUGGAUUGAUGGGUCACUGUCCUUGUUCAUCAAACAAGUGUGUGGUCCAAAUGAAGUGAAAUUUGGGCCUCUCAUUGUCUUUGUCCAUAUACUAGUCUACGCAUGAGGUGGAGCGAUGCACGCGGGACAUCGUGUACCACAGGGUGCAACCAUGCCUGCAUUAUCUCUUCAUUUUUAUUUGUUAUUUUCUGAUUAAUCUUUCAAUUUGAGUGGUUUUUAACCCUUGUCUGAAGAAUUUAGUUCAGAAGAAUAUCUGAUAGAUGGCCCACCUUCAACAAUUAAUAUCUAGGCACAUGUUUGUUAUAAAAUAGACUGUUCGAAAUGUGGGCCUCACUGUCGAUGGGCCAUGGCCCAAAAAUUACAUCAAUAAGGCAUCUCAAUCACUCCAUAUGUGACACUUACUGGACUGAAUACCAUCUCUUUGUAAUCAAGCAUUAGUGAGCCACAGUUGCAAAGUAGAUGACAUUUUGGUGCAAUUUUUGGAGCUAUGUCCCACCUAACUGAGGGCCCACUUUUUGAACGGUUUGGAUCAUUGCAAAAGGGUCACAAGUUUUUACAACGAUUGCCCCAUCCAUCCAUGUGGGCCACACAUAGAACAUAUAAUUCCUUGCCAUUAUCCUCAACCAGUCUGUCUGGGCCGGCUAUAUCUCAGCGUUGAAGGUCGCUAGCUCAUCAACCUACUUUUGCAGUGUAUCAGGUUUUCAGUCCUGGCAAGUAGGGCCCAGUGGUAGGCAAUCCAGACCACUAAUCUGUUGCGUCCCACCGUGGAUGGACCUUACCCAAAAAUUUCCACUUUUGGGGGAUUUCGGUCGCCAACCUUGGGACCUUUUUCACUUGAUUGUUGACUAUCUCGUUUUCUCUUCAUAACCGUUUAUCCAUUGGCCACUAAUUAGAAGGUAGAGAUAGUCCUAUUCAUUAGAUCCAGGGAUGUUAUUCCAUCGACAGUGGGAUGCGAAAGACCAACCGUCUGAUUACCCAAGCAUGGGUCCCACUUUUUAGAAAUCUCUAGAAAAAAACAAACAAGAGUUUGAUAUUCAAAAUUUCACCUGCAGCCAGCUGUUUGCUAACUUUUCAUGCAUCCCUAUCUUUCCAACGGAACUCCUCCCCAUGAAGAUCACAUGGCACAAAAAUAAAGAGGGUCUGCUCAUCAGGCCUGCCACACCGUUGAAAUCGAUGGACAACCGAUAAUUCUCGUGUCCCACUUAAUGAAUAUAUCAUCCUGAAUUUUAAGAUGAUUGAUCUUCAUGAUGGGGCCCACCUUUUCCACGGACCAGAUAUCCUACAAAAAUUGGUACGUGGUGGAAAAUAGAAGGCUGCAUGAGAAGUUACCAUGCAGCCGGUUGUAGGUGAUCCAUUCUCCAAAACCAUGUAAAAAAAAAAAAUCCAAAAUAAGAUUAUUAUUUUAUUUUAAUUUUCUAGGCCAUGCAGCAACGAGGCCCGUUGUCGAUAAUAGCCUUUUGAUGGUGUGGCCCACCUAUCUUCUUACUCCACACGCUGUCCACAGCUCUCCCACAAGUGACCAAAAACUUAAAACGAACCUUGGCCAUUGCUCAAGCCCAUCCAAAACGCUUCCCAACCAAACACGCCUUUCAAGGCCUUUCUGUAAACGUGGCAGCUUUACAAGGAUCCACGUCAUCCCAGGUCAUAAGUGGUUGAAAUCAAGUCAUAGAAAAACACAAACGAGAUAAGGAAGGAGCAGCCAAUGACGUUGUCGUGUCAAUUUCAUACUCUACAAAAUGUGAUAGAUGGUACACAGGUACUUAGAAAUUGCAUACGUUGGAUAAAAUUAAGUUUAUUUAAACUGUUCAAAUAAUGGGUCUCAGAUUAUAUGUAUCAUGAACCAAAAA
This is a long non-coding RNA of Magnolia sinica, 1955 nucleotides long. RefSeq lists it as uncharacterized. The record is from RefSeq and is a predicted model, not a curated record. NCBI's taxonomy places the organism in Eukaryota, Viridiplantae, Streptophyta, Magnoliopsida, Magnoliales, Magnoliaceae. The transcript has 2 exons.